GCUCGAGACGGAAGUGUUUGCGCGUGAGGCAGGAAGUCCCGCCCCACGCCGAUCUCCAUGGAGACUGGACGCUGUUAGUGGAGAAAGGGCGGGGGGGAGCGUGGGGAUUUGACCGCAGAAAUGGAACUAAGGUCAAAACUUGGAAAAACCGGGACUAGAAUCCUCCUUAGACCCACCAACCCUGUUUAGAAAUCCUAAGAGAUUAAUUUUAACCUCACUGGCCUUGGAGGUAUACAGACCUGCGUUCGAAUCCCUUCUCGGCUACCUCUCAGCUUAAGACCUUAGGGAAGUUACAAAACGUCCCCAUGCUUCGGAUAACUUUUCGAUAAAAUGGCACUAACACUAACCCCGCAGAGAUGUGAAGAUAACAUGAAAUUAUAUCUUUUCUGGUUCAUUGUUUACAUAACUUUUUAUUUCAUCCUGAAUGUGGUUUGGUGUGUACUCCAAAGCCAUCCUUCCACGUUGACUUAAAAAACAUUCUUCGUUGCACAGCACAGAUGCCUCCUAUUGGAAUGGUACCUCACCCUCAUAGAGAACCAAUGGUAGCCUACGCUUGACCUUGCACUCUGCCAUUUCCGUGGUGCCUGCUUUGAAGUGU
Panthera uncia (snow leopard) is the source of this 598-nucleotide long non-coding RNA. RefSeq lists it as uncharacterized. The record is from RefSeq and is a predicted model, not a curated record. The transcript is spliced from 3 exons. NCBI's taxonomy places the organism in Eukaryota, Metazoa, Chordata, Mammalia, Carnivora, Felidae.